This 349-nucleotide unclassified non-coding RNA is filed under the name soil metagenome. RNAcentral's name for it is "partial contains 5.8S ribosomal RNA, internal transcribed spacer 2, and large subunit ribosomal RNA". The stretch from base 1 to 120 matches the Rfam family "5.8S ribosomal RNA", at positions 35 to 154 of the family's 154-position model. The record is from RNAcentral.
GAUGAAGAACGUAGUGAAAUGCGAUAAGUAGUGUGAAUUGCAGAAUUCAGUGAAUCAUCGAAUCUUUGAACGCACAUUGCGCCCGCCAGUAUUCUGGCGGGCAUGCCUGUCCGAGCGUCAUUUCAACCCUCGCGCCCAUCUGGGCUGCGGUGUUGGGGACCGGCCUGCCCCCCCGGGGCGCGCCGCCCCCCAAAUUCAGUGGCGGUCUCGCUGCAGCCUCCCUUGCGUAGUAGCACACCUCGCACCGGAGCGCAGCGCGGCCACGCCGUAAAACCCCCGACCCCCAUGAGUUUGACCUCGGAUCAGGUAGGAAUACCCGCUGAACUUAAGCAUAUCAAUAAGCGGAGGA